This 467-nucleotide ribosomal RNA is filed under the name Serratia marcescens. RNAcentral describes it as "bacterial SSU rRNA". It matches the Rfam family "Bacterial small subunit ribosomal RNA", at positions 61 to 516 of the family's 1533-position model. The record is from RNAcentral. Lineage: Bacteria; Pseudomonadati; Pseudomonadota; Gammaproteobacteria; Enterobacterales; Yersiniaceae.
GUCGAGCGGGUAGCACAGGGGAGCUUGCUCCCUGGGUGACGAGCGGCGGACGGGUGAGUAAUGUCUGGGAAACUGCCUGAUGGAGGGGGAUAACUACUGGAAACGGUAGCUAAUACCGCAUAACGUCGCAAGACCAAAGAGGGGGACCUUCGGGCCUCUUGCCAUCAGAUGUGCCCAGAUGGGAUUAGCUAGUAGGUGGGGUAAUGGCUCACCUAGGCGACGAUCCCUAGCUGGUCUGAGAGGAUGACCAGCCACACUGGAACUGAGACACGGUCCAGACUCCUACGGGAGGCAGCAGUGGGGAAUAUUGCACAAUGGGCGCAAGCCUGAUGCAGCCAUGCCGCGUGUGUGAAGAAGGCCUUCGGGUUGUAAAGCACUUUCAGCGAGGAGGAAGGUGGUGAACUUAAUACGCUCAUCAAUUGACGUUACUCGCAGAAGAAGCACCGGCUAACUCCGUGCCAGCAGCC